Ornithodoros turicata is the source of this 331-nucleotide long non-coding RNA. RefSeq lists it as uncharacterized. The record is from RefSeq and is a predicted model, not a curated record. Lineage: Eukaryota; Metazoa; Arthropoda; Arachnida; Ixodida; Argasidae. The transcript is spliced from 3 exons.
UAGGAUUGCAGCUUGACUACAACUGUGGAGACCGCUUUAUAUCAAACCUUAAGCUGCUGGGGCUCAAAGGAAAAUAUCGAUCCAUUAUGUGCUAUUAAGAACAUCUCAAAUACUUUGUUGAAUGAUUCAAGAUGUCCACAAGGCAGUCAAGCAAGGGACCAAUCAACCAUGAAUUCUUUGGAUCUGCCGUUGCUGGGAGCAGCAAUCCUACAAAGGGGCACCGGUUACAUACAAGCUAACCUCUGUCCGAACAGGCCGCUCUAAGUGAAGGCACUUCAACCGGUCCCAGCUCAACAAUGAGGUUUGCAACCAGUUCCAGUCGAGACUGCGA